AAAGAAAGUUGAUAAAAGAGAACAUGAUUGGAAAUGUAGGUCACGCAUAUCAAUCAUGCACACAACUCAAUAAAUUCAAAUGCGGAGAUCCUGUGGUUAGUAGUAUUACGUAGCUAGCCAUGAAAAAUGUUGUGGUCAGUAGUAUUACGUAGCUAGCCAUGAAAAAUGUUAUGGAGAAUGAGAGCACCAUGAAAGGAAUAAUAAUAUCAAGUGACAGUCAUGAACACCACCACCAUCAACAAGAACAACAGGAAGAAGAAGGAGGAAACCAGCAUCAAACUAAGCUGGCCACUAAUUUUUUGCUGCAUACUAUUACUAGCUGGUCAAGUAGGAGGUCCAUUACUACUAAGGCUUUACUUCUCCCACGGUGGUCAAAGAAAUGGUUAUCAAGUUCGUUACGAAAUGCAGCUUUUCCAUUUCUUCUCAUUCCAAUCUUGCUUUCGUGGUUUAAAUCGAAGUCAAAAUCAAAAUCUUAUGAUUCUCAAUCAUUAUCAACAAAUGAUGUAAACCUGUCGACUAACCAAAACCUAAGAUUUUUUGUCACUCGUAAACUUUUCAUAUCGAGUGUUAUCCUGGGCAUUAUGUUUGGCCUAGACGGUUUUCUAUAUUCUCUUGGUUCAAGUUAUCUCCCUGUUUCAACUUCUGCAUUGUUGAUGGCUACUCAACUUGCUUUUACUGCUGUGUUUGCUUUAGUUCUUGUUAAGCAGAAGUUUACCCCGUGUAGUGGCGUAAAACCACACACCACAUCCAACGAAGUAGAAGAUGAUUUAACACAAAGUGAAGAUACACCACAAAUGUAGACACAAGGAUGUACAUGGUUCGGUAUGAUUAUCUACGUCCACAGGGUGAAAGGAUGAAUGUUAUUACUUAUUUUCUUUGAUUACAAGGUGUUUUCUCCUUCUCAAAUGGUGCAGCUCUCAAACUCUCAAAUGUAGUGUCUUGUUUCUCUCUCUUUCCACCUCCCUCUCUCUCUCGACCAGCCCUUGUAUUUAUAGGCCAAGGUCGACAUACAACAGAAUUACAAUGUUGGUCACAUUACAUCAGUUUAGAUGUUCCCUAUCGGGCCUGUGUUGGAGCUCCCCCAUCUUUCUGGUAUGGCCGAUAGAGUCUUGGUCUUUGAUAGUUCUUCACCCAAGGCCGAGUCCUGAUCGUCUGGUUGACACGAUGUCGCCCUUCUUUCUUAUCGUCCCAUUGUUUUACCAGAUCCCUUUGUCUGACCCAGUGCUUUCUGAUCGUCCGUCCGAAUUGUCAGAGGAUAAGGGUCACGUCCCAUCCGGAAACUAUAGGGCCAUCACGUCCGACCCACGUGACACCUCGCUCUUUGUGCUAUUUGGUUCUAUCCUGUGCUUCGCCGCUCUUUCCUCUUCGGUGUAUCAUAGCUUAAGAUCUUGCCAAAUAGCCCUGUGGAUUAUAUACACCUACAUUUAUGCCCCUUAUUUCGCUCGUGUGCUUGACACGAGGGAAAGAAAAUCGUUCCAUCUUCCCACGUCCUUGAGCAUGCCGAGAAUUCCUCCAUGCAGUUCCCCACUAAACAUCCCAUUAUGACUUGUAACCGCUGAUGUCGGUCAAGACACUUCAUCCUAUAAAUAUCUCCCUUUAUGCUCUCUUUCCUCUAUUCGCCAUUUUCAGAAAACCAAGCGUUGUUCUUUCUUCUUUUUCACUUUCCUUCCUUACCGACGCCAUUAACUCCGGUGACCCUUUUAUCUUCUCAGUCUUCAUCUUCGUUGUUUCUGUUGGUGAGGAUUGCGACAGUCGUGGUCGGUUCUUCUUUUUACUUCUCUCUCCAUCAAAGUUCAUAUCUCUCUGUUCGCUUUCUGCCAUGGCUACUUCUUCUCCGUCAAUGACUGAAAAAAUGUGCGUGAGUGAUACCUUCUCCGAGGGAGAUGUUGUUUCUCUUGAUUCCUUAUUUUGGCUUGAGAGUCCUUCCCAUCACGAUUAUCGUGCUAUAAAUUCCCUUUUUCCUGAUGAUUCUCCCUCUUUUAAAUGUAGGGUUGUUAAGAGAGUCUCCAAAGACUUGUCUGAUGAUUAGUUUAUUGAACAGUUGAAGGAAGAAUUCGGUCUUAAAAACUAUGAAGUGACCCUAGUCUCGGGGCAAACGGGUGUGUUGAAGAAAACCGAUGUCGAUAAGCAUGAGCAGUCGUCCGAGGCGGUCAUCGUCACUCGUGGGCAGCUGGAACUUGGCCUUCGCUUUCCUCUAUACAACCAUGUCAUCCCUUUAUACUAUGAGGUAUUGUCGCAGCUUCGUCCAUAUCGGGCCUUGACUCAGUGGAAUAGCAACAGUUUCCGUCUGAUGAAUGAGUGGAGAGAUUGAGGCGAGGGUUGCGGAUCUACGGACGGUUGGUCGAUCUAUAAGCCUGGAGACGCUCCCGAUUACACUUCUGCCAAUUUUAUAGUGAACUACCGGAGCGGGGCAGCUACCAAUGGCGACCUUGCUGGUUUUGCUGCUAGCCCUCACCGUCAGAAAUCUAUGCCCGAGGGUGUUGACAGAUUGAUGCUAGAUGCUUAUCCCCUUGGUAAAGGUUCCAACAAGCGUGCUCGCCACACCAAUGACCCAUACUGGGACCGAGUUCCACUUCUUGUUCGCGGCUAAAUUUUGCAUGGUAGCUUUCCUCCUCCUCAAUUUCCUGCAGAGCCUUAUCCAUUCUGGGUGAUUAACGAUGAUAAGGUUAAGCCUUAGAGCGAGUCUACCAAAUUGGAUUAUAUUUCCAAGAAGAGGAAUGCUGGCACAAGGGUCGAGGAGGAUCAGGGGAAGAAAUUCCCUCGAUGCGAGGAUGAAGAUGUUGGAGGGUCCGAUACUGGUGGUAGUGAAAGUUUGGUUCCAAGGCGUAAUCCUUCUCGGGGGAAGGUGGCGGCGAAGGGCGUGGUGUUGAAAAGCUCGGACGUUGUGAUCGAUAUCCCCGAUCAAGAUGAUGAGGACGAUAUAUUCGGGGACGAUCAGCUGUUUGAUGAGGAUGCUGGUGGCUAGAAGGAAGCGGAUGUUUAUGUGGAGACUGCUGUUGUGACUCCUGUCAUGCAGUCUAGUGAUCAGGGCCGACCCAAACAUCACUCCAAAAGUUUCCCAGAAGGAUGUUGGGUCUCCCUCGGGUGUUCAGACGUCCUUUACCAUAUCGGGCCCUAAUUGUGAUUCACUUGGCGCAUUGCACUCUGAGGAGUUCGGCUCAUAUACUGAUGAGAAGAUGAUUGCUGUCGUGCCCCUGUAUCGUGAUAUCGCGCCGGUCUUUGAUAAUUUGGCGUUGAAUCGGUCGAGGUUGGAGGCUGCACUCCGCCGACAAGAGAUUAGGAAGUUGGAAGCUGCUCUUCAGCAGGAGAAGGAACGAUCUCGUGAUCUGGAGAUCAAACUCGCCGAUGCGAAAGGGUCGUGCUAAGGAUCUGGAACGAGAUGUGCACAACCUCGGGCAAGAGGUGGAGCAGUGGAAGAAGGUUGAAGGCGAGACGAAGGUUAAGCUCCAAGCCUCCGAGUCGAGGUCCGAGCAUCUUUCUCAGCAGAUUGUGGACGAGAGAAACGCUCAUCAGAGCGAGCUUACUGAGGCGAUCAAUGCCGGUGUAAACGAGUACAUUGCGCAAAAGCGCCGCGAGGUUGCUCAGAGGAAGGGAGGGGUCGGUGCUGUUCCACCAAGGAGUUGAUCACGCCUUUUGUAGUGCUGCGCCACUAAUUUUCCCUUUGUUGCGGGUUGUAAUUCGUUUGAACACUUGUCCCAUGCUUCUUUGAACAAUUUAUUUAAAUGGGGUGCUGCGUCGCCAAGCUUGUUUUUCCUUUUCUAUUUUCCUUGACAAUUUCCGCCUUUUCCAUUGUGUUGACAAUUCUCUUGAUAAUUUCAGCCUUAUCUUGUUGUUUAUGUUA
Molecule: long non-coding RNA, 3841 nt
Organism: Papaver somniferum (opium poppy)
Lineage: Eukaryota; Viridiplantae; Streptophyta; Magnoliopsida; Ranunculales; Papaveraceae
Exons: 5
Source: RefSeq, a predicted model, not a curated record